This 1445-nucleotide ribosomal RNA is filed under the name uncultured bacterium. RNAcentral's name for it is "bacterial SSU rRNA". It matches the Rfam family "Bacterial small subunit ribosomal RNA". The record is from RNAcentral.
AGGGUUUGAUUAUGGCUCAGAACGAACGCUGGCGGCAUGCCUAACACAUGCAAGUCGAACGCUAUUUAUAGAGUGGCGCACGGGUGAGUAACGCGUGGGAACCUGCCUUUUUCUGCGGGAUAACGGUUGGAAACGAUCGCUAUACCGCAUACGCCCUACGGGGGAAAGGUCCGCCGGAAAGAGGGGCCCGCGUCUGAUUAGCUUGUUGGUAGGGUAAUGGCCUACCAAGGCAACGAUCAGUAGCUGGUCUGAGAGGAUGAUCAGCCACACUGGGACUGAGACACGGCCCAGACUCCUACGGGAGGCAGCAGUGGGGAAUAUUGGACAAUGGGGGCAACCCUGAUCCAGCAAUGCCGCGUGUGUGAUGAAGGCCUUAGGGUUGUAAAGCACUUUCACUGGUGAAGAUGAUGACGGUAACCAGAGAAGAAGCCCCGGCUAACUUCGUGCCAGCAGCCGCGGUAAUACGAAGGGGGCGAGCGUUGUUCGGAAUUACUGGGCGUAAAGGGCGCGUAGGCGGUCUUUUAAGUUAGGCGUGAAAGCCCCGGGCUCAACCCGGGAACUGCGCUUAAUACUGGAAGACUAGAAAACGGAAGAGGGUAGUGGAAUUCCCAGUGUAGAGGUGAAAUUCGUAGAUAUUGGGAAGAACACCAGUGGCGAAAGCGGCUACCUGGUCCGAUUUUGACGCUGAGGCGCGAAAGCGUGGGGAGCAAACAGGAUCAGAUACCCUGGUAGUCCACGCCGUAAACGAUGUCUGCUAGAUGUCGGGGGGUUGCCCCUCGGUGUCGCCGCUAACGCAUUAAGCAGACCGCCUGGGAAGUACGGUCGCAAGAUUAAAACUCAAAGGAAUUGACGGGGGCCCGCACAAGCGGUGGAGGAUGUGGUUUAAUUCGAAGCAACGCGCAGAACCUUACCAGUCCUUGACAUGGGGAGUUUGGUUUCCGGAGACGGAUUCCUUCAGUUCGGCUGGCUCCCACACAGGUGCUGCAUGGCUGUCGUCAGCUCGUGUCGUGAGAUGUUGGGUUAAGUCCCGCAACGAGCGCAACCCUCAUCUUUAGUUGCCAUCAGUUAGGCUGGGCACUCUAGAGAAACUGCCUGCGAUGAGCAGGAGGAAGGCGGGGAUGACGUCAAGUCCUCAUGGCCCUUAUGGACUGGGCUACACACGUGCUACAAUGGCGGUGUCAGUGGGAAGCAAUAGGGCGACCUGGAGCAAAUCCCCAAAAGCCGUCCCAGUUCGGAUUGUACUCUGCAACUCGAAUGCAUGAAGUUGGAAUCGCUAGUAAUCGUGGAUCAGCAUGCCACGGUGAAUACGUUCCCGGGCCUUGUACACACCGCCCGUCACACCAUGGGAAUUGGUUCUACCCGAAUGCGGUGGGCUAGCCUGCUUGCAGGAGGCAGCCGACCACGGUAGGGUCAGUGACUGGGGUGAAGUCGUAACAAGGUAGCCA